This 876-nucleotide long non-coding RNA is filed under the name Suricata suricatta (meerkat). RNAcentral's name for it is "lncRNA (ENSSSUG00005010943.1)". Lineage: Eukaryota; Metazoa; Chordata; Mammalia; Carnivora; Herpestidae. The record is from RNAcentral.
AGCGCACUGUGUGACCACCCUCUGCGCAGCCUCCCCAGAUGCAGAGACACUUGGGCAUUCCAGAGCCAUCUUCCCUCUGGGCCAGCUGGGGUUGUAAGGUUUCCCCUGUCAGGUUUCCCUGGGGCCACCUGUUGUCCUGACUGGGGGCUCACAAUGCCUCACUUCAACUUCACAUCUGCGGCCUAAAAACAAGAGGUUCAUGGAUUUGAGCCCUGAUCCUUGCUUUUCCAACGACCCACACCCAUUUUUCACCAUCCACCCAUCCCACCAGGUAGCAGAUUGGCCCGCACCAUGCACAAGGGUUUAAUUUGCACUGGGCUGCCUGGGGAGUAGCAAGUCACAGAGGGGCCUGUAUGGAGUGGCUGAAUCCCAGAGCCGGCAGAGUGUACCUCAUGUUAAGCAGUGAGUACAGUGGUCACCUUCAGAAGUGAGGACAGGACCUUCUAUCUUGCAAGGUGGACAGGGGCGUAUGUCUUCCACAACUCUAUCCCUGACUCAACACCAUCACUUCUUUACAGGGAAAAAAAAAAAAGGACGUAGCCUAGAGAGGAGCUGGCUCACCUAAAGUUUGCUUCUUCCUUCCAUUCGUUCCACAGUGUUUAUUGAGAUUCUGUCCCCAGGGCCCAACUCUGCGAGCAGGAAGCUUGCCUGUAUGGAGAAAGGCCAGAGUGACUCUGAUGGGCACUCUCAGUCCCCAGGCCAGAAGAGACACCAGCAUGGGACAAUCACAGCCGCCCAGAACAAGUCUUCAGCAGGGCUCCGGGCCAUGGCCCUCCACAGUUUGUACAGCUCCUUUACAUGCAUCCUUGAAGCAGACAGGGAUAUGGCCAGGAAACCAAGACUCCGUGAGAGGCAGUACCUCGGCCAAAGGCUAAG